Molecule: long non-coding RNA, 980 nt
Organism: Wyeomyia smithii (pitcher-plant mosquito)
Lineage: Eukaryota; Metazoa; Arthropoda; Insecta; Diptera; Culicidae
Exons: 2
Source: RefSeq, a predicted model, not a curated record
CACACGAAAUAGACGUGACAAUUUUGUACCGUGUACCUGUAAGUUUUUAUGCACACACACAUUGUUUUUUUUAGCUGAAAAGUGUAGUAUACGAAGAGUGCGACACGGUGAUAGUAAUGAAAUCAACAUAGAUAAAUUAAACAAAACAAAAUAGGUAGUCAAUCAAAAAUCCAAGCUGAGAACUUUAUUUGGUUUUUGAUUAGCUAUUUCUUUUUGAAAAAAAAACGAAACAACCAGAGAAUGCAAUUCGGUCGGAAAUGUUUGCUGUGCAAAAACACUAAGCAUCGAGAUCGAGGGUGUCGGUUAUUCAAAUUCCCUCCCCGCGGCAGUCCAAUGUGGUACCGAUGGUUGGCAGCUUGCAGCCUUGAAGCGCUCGACAUCGAAGAAAAUUCGCGUGAACCGCCCCGUCUUUGUCAAAGGCAUUUCCUGAAAAAAGACUUCCUUACACGAAGACUAACGGCCACGGCCGUUCCGUCAGUGUUUCCGUUGAAUGUGCAUACCAAAAUUGAAGAGUCAACUGGCGAAUCCUGUUCAGAGGAUAGUAGAUAUACGACAAGCGUAACGGAUGUGGAUUGUGAGCACGAUCAGGUUUUUGAUUUGGUGAAUGCACCGGAAGUCGACGAUCUGAUAGAAUUUACUGGAAACGAGGAAAGAGAAGUGAUUAUAGACGAAAUUCCAGCUGCUGAUUUGCAAAGCAACCUUUAUGAGACUGAAGAAGUGGUGGUAAGUUGUUAUGUUGAAGAACAUUGGCAUCUUUUGGAGCAUUUACGUGAUGAACAAACUUAAGUUGAGCAACUUGUAAAACAACUUAACGAAAAAGAUCGAGUCAUAGACGAUCAGUGUAAGAUUAUGAAACAGAUGGGAGUUCGGUUUAUAACCCUUGAUCGAGAAUAACUGUUAUAUAUUCGAAUUGUACUUUAAGUUUGUUAAGCAUAGGCAAUAUUUAUUUUCUUACCAGCACACGAUAUGCAACAUGUAAA